AUGGCCGUGGUGAUGGCUCUGGCGUUGGCCGGCAUGGUGGCGAGCUCGUCGGCGGCGGUCUACCAGGUCGGCGGCUCCUCCGGGUGGACCAUCCUCGGCAACGUCAACUACGCCGACUGGGCUGGGAAGCAGACCUUCAAAGUGGGGGACGUCAUCGAGUUCAAGUACCCGCAGGGCAUCCACAACGUGCUGGAGGUGAACAAGGCGGACUACAGCAGCUGCACCAACUCGACGCCCAUCGCCACGCACACCUCCGGCGACGACAAGGUCACCAUCAAGAGCCCCGGCCACCGCUUCUUCAUCUGCGGCGUGCCGGGCCACUGCGCCGCCGGCCAGAAGCUCAACGUCCGCGUGCUCAAGACACAGAAGGCCCGCUCCUCGGCCCCGUCCCCGUCCCCGUCGCCCUCCGCCACCGCGCCGGCGCCGGCCGCGGCGUCCCCGCGCGCCGGAGACACCAGCGAGAGCAGCGCCUCGACCCCGCCCGCCGCGGCGACUUCGUCUGACGGAGGGGCAACGACGACCGCGCCCGCGCCGAAUUCCAACGGCGCCGGCGUCGUCCGCGCGGGCUAUGCCGUGGCAUUGGCCAUGGCCGCGUCCAUGGCGAUGCUACAGUAG
Molecule: ribosomal RNA, 615 nt
Filed under: Triticum aestivum (bread wheat)
Lineage: Eukaryota; Viridiplantae; Streptophyta; Magnoliopsida; Poales; Poaceae
Description: partial small subunit ribosomal RNA
Source: RNAcentral